GGAUGCUGACGAGCGGCGGACGGGUGAGUAAUGCAUAGGAAUCUGCCCGGUAGUGGGGGAUAACCUGGGGAAACCCAGGCUAAUACCGCAUACGUCCUACGGGAGAAAGGGGGCUUCGGCUCCCGCUAUCGGAUGAGCCUAUGUCGGAUUAGCUAGUUGGUGAGGUAACGGCUCACCAAGGCCACGAUCCGUAGCUGGUCUGAGAGGAUGAUCAGCCACAUCGGGACUGAGACACGGCCCGAACUCCUACGGGAGGCAGCAGUGGGGAAUAUUGGACAAUGGGGGGAACCCUGAUCCAGCCAUGCCGCGUGUGUGAAGAAGGCCCUCGGGUUGUAAAGCACUUUCAGCGAGGAAGAACGCCUAGCGGUUAAUACCCGCUAGGAAAGACAUCACUCGCAGAAGAAGCACCGGCUAACUCCGUGCCAGCAGCCGCGGUAAUACGGAGGGUGCAAGCGUUAAUCGGAAUUACUGGGCGUAAAGCGCGCGUAGGUGGCUUGAUAAGCCGGUUGUGAAAGCCCCGGGCUCAACCUGGGAACGGCAUCCGGAACUGUCAAGCUAGAGUGCAGGAGAGGAAGGUAGAAUUCCCGGUGUAGCGGUGAAAUGCGUAGAGAUCGGGAGGAAUACCAGUGGCGAAGGCGGCCUUCUGGACUGACACUGACACUGAGGUGCGAAAGCGUGGGUAGCAAACAGGAUUAGAUACCCUGGUAGUCCACGCCGUAAACGAUGUCGACCAGCCGUUGGGUGCCUAGCGCACUUUGUGGCGAAGUUAACGCGAUAAGUCGACCGCCUGGGGAGUACGGCCGCAAGGUUAAAACUCAAAUGAAUUGACGGGGGCCCGCACAAGCGGUGGAGCAUGUGGUUUAAUUCGAUGCAACGCGAAGAACCUUACCUACUCUUGACAUCCUGCGAAUUCGGUAGAGAUACCUUAGUGCCUUCGGGAACGCAGAGACAGGUGCUGCAUGGCUGUCGUCAGCUCGUGUUGUGAAAUGUUGGGUUAAGUCCCGUAACGAGCGCAACCCUUGUCCUUAUUUGCCAGCCCGUAAUGGCGGGAACUCUAAGGAGACUGCCGGUGACAAACCGGAGGAAGGUGGGGACGACGUCAAGUCAUCAUGGCCCUUACGAGUAGGGCUACCAACGUGCUACAAUGGUCGGUACAAAGGGUUGCCAAUUCGCGAGAGUGAGCCAAUCCCGGAAAGCCGAUUCCAGUCCGGAUCGGA
Molecule: ribosomal RNA, 1217 nt
Filed under: Vreelandella aquamarina
Lineage: Bacteria; Pseudomonadati; Pseudomonadota; Gammaproteobacteria; Oceanospirillales; Halomonadaceae
Description: bacterial SSU rRNA
Rfam family: Bacterial small subunit ribosomal RNA
Source: RNAcentral